This 1325-nucleotide ribosomal RNA is filed under the name metagenome. Its description in RNAcentral is "bacterial LSU rRNA". It matches the Rfam family "Bacterial large subunit ribosomal RNA", at positions 1561 to 2925 of the family's 2925-position model. The record is from RNAcentral.
AGUGGAUGGGGAGCAACCUAGUUGUGCGUGUGUAAAGGUAGUGCCAAGAAAAGCGAUGAUCAUGUUGAAAAUCAAUUCCCGGUACCCGAAACCGACACAGGUGGGCAAGUAGAGAAUACUAAGGGGCGCGAGGUAACUCUCUCCAAGGAACUCGGCAAAAUGACCCCGUAACUUAGGGAGAAGGGGUGCCACCGAGAGGUGGUCGCAGUGAAGAGGCCCAGGCGACUGUUUAGCAAAAACAUAGGUCUCUGCAAACUCGAAAGAGGAGGUAUAGGGGCUGACGCCUGCCCAGUGCCGGAAGGUUAAAGAAGUUGGUCAGUUUUAGGAUGAAGCUAGCGACUGAAGCCCCGGUGAACGGCGGCCGUAACUAUAACGGUCCUAAGGUAGCGAAAUUCCUUGUCGGGUAAGUUCCGACCCGCACGAAAGGCGUAACGAUCUGGGCGCUGUCUCGGAGAGAGGCUCGGCGAAAUAGGAUUGUCUGUGAAGAUACGGACUACCUGCAUUUGGACAGAAAGACCCUAUGAAGCUUUACUAUAGCUUGGAAUUGUGUUCGGGCUUCCUGUGCGCAGGAUAGGUGGGAGGCGUAGAAGGUAUUCUUGUGGGGAUACUGGAGCCAACGGUGAGAUACCACUCUCAGGAGGCUAGAAUUCUAACUUAAUUAAGGACAGUUUCAGGUGGGUAGUUUGACUGGGGCGGUCGCCUCCAAAAAGGUAACGGAGGCGUACAAAGGUUCCCUCAGACUGGUUGGAAAUCAGUCGAAGAGUGCAAAGGCAGAAGGGAGCUUGACUGCGAGAAGUACAGUUCGAGCAGGGUGGAAACACGGUCUUAGUGAUCCGACGGUGCUGUGUGGAAGGGCCGUCGCUCAACGGAUAAAAGUUACUCUAGGAUAACAGGCUGAUCUCCCCCAAGAGUUCACAUCGACGGGGAGGUUUGGCACCUCGAUGUCGGCUCAUCGCAACCUGGGGCGGAAGUACGUCCCAAGGGUUGGGCUGUUCGCCCAUUAAAGCGGUACGUGAGCUGGGUUCAGAACGUCGUGAGACAGUUCGGUCCAUAUCCGAUGUAGGCGUGAGAAUAUUGAGAGGAGCCUUCCUUAGUACGAGAGGACCGGGAAGGACGCACCGCUGGUGUACCUGUUAUGAUGCCAAUUGUAAACGCAGGGUAGCCAAGUGCGGAGAGGAUAACCGCUGAAAGCAUCUAAGUGGGAAGCCCACCUCAAGAUGAGUAUUCUGGUGUAAGGUCACGGGAAGACGACCCGUAAAUAGGCACGAGGUGGAAGUGCAGAGAUGUAUGAAGCCGAAGUGUACUAAUAGACCGUCGGCUUGAUC